RNAcentral lists this ribosomal RNA (1362 nucleotides) under uncultured bacterium. RNAcentral's name for it is "16S ribosomal RNA". It matches the Rfam family "Bacterial small subunit ribosomal RNA", at positions 28 to 1381 of the family's 1533-position model. The record is from RNAcentral.
GAUGAACGCUAGCGACAGGCUUAACACAUGCAAGUCGAGGGGCAGCAGGGGAGUAGCAAUACUCCCGCUGGCGACCGGCGCACGGGUGAGUAACACGUAUGCAACCUGCCCUUGUCAGGGGGAUAAGCGGAAGAAAUUCCGUCUAAUACCGCAUAAUGCUGCGGGGAGACAUCUCCCUGCAGCCAAAGAUUUAUCGGACAAGGAUGGGCAUGCGGCGCAUUAGCUUGUUGGCGGGGUAACGGCCCACCAAGGCGACGAUGCGUAGGGGUUCUGAGAGGAAGGUCCCCCACACUGGUACUGAGACACGGACCAGACUCCUACGGGAGGCAGCAGUGAGGAAUAUUGGUCAAUGGCCGGGAGGCUGAACCAGCCAAGUCGCGUGAGGGAAGACGGUCCUAUGGAUUGUAAACCUCUUUUGUCAGGGAGCAAAAACUGCCACGCGUGGCAGGAUGAGAGUACCUGAAGAAAAAGCAUCGGCUAACUCCGUGCCAGCAGCCGCGGUAAUACGGAGGAUGCGAGCGUUAUCCGGAUUUAUUGGGUUUAAAGGGUGCGUAGGCGGACAGUUAAGUCAGCGGUAAAAUUGAGAGGCUCAACCUCUUCCCGCCGUUGAAACUGAUUGUCUUGAGUGGGCGAGAAGUAUGCGGAAUGCGUGGUGUAGCGGUGAAAUGCAUAGAUAUCACGCAGAACUCCGAUUGCGAAGGCAGCAUACCGGCGCCCAACUGACGCUGAAGCACGAAAGCGUGGGUAUCGAACAGGAUUAGAUACCCUGGUAGUCCACGCAGUAAACGAUGAAUACUAAUUGUUCGGGUCAAAUGAGAUCUGAGUGAUACAGCGAAAGCGUUAAGUAUUCCACCUGGGGAGUACGCCGGCAACGGUGAAACUCAAAGGAAUUGACGGGGGCCCGCACAAGCGGAGGAACAUGUGGUUUAAUUCGAUGAUACGCGAGGAACCUUACCCGGGCUCAAACGACACAGGAAUGAUCUGAGAAAUCAGGCAGUCCUCCGGGACCUGUGUCGAGGUGCUGCAUGGUUGUCGUCAGCUCGUGCCGUGAGGUGUCGGCUUAAGUGCCAUAACGAGCGCAACCCCCAUCGACAGUUGCCAGCAGGUCAAGCUGGGCACUCUGUCGAGACUGCCGGCGCAAGCUGUGAGGAAGGCGGGGAUGACGUCAAAUCAGCACGGCCCUUACGUCCGGGGCGACACACGUGUUACAAUGGCAGGUACAGCGGGAAGCCACCUGGCGACAGGGAGCGGAACCCGAAAGCCUGUCUCAGUUCGGAUUGGAGUCUGCAACUCGACUCCAUGAAGCUGGAUUCGCUAGUAAUCGCGCAUCAGCCACGGCGCGGUGAAUACGUUCCCGGGCCU